Molecule: RNA transcript, 6621 nt
Organism: Helianthus annuus (common sunflower)
Lineage: Eukaryota; Viridiplantae; Streptophyta; Magnoliopsida; Asterales; Asteraceae
Gene name: E3 ubiquitin-protein ligase PRT6
Exons: 19
Source: RefSeq, a predicted model, not a curated record
GCACGCAAGAAGUCGUUUGAUCACUUGAAGAGGCCUUACAGUUUGUGAAAUCGGCAACUGUUAUGUUCAGGAUGGAGAUUGAUUCACCAUCAUCAUCAUCAUCAUCUGAACUUGAUGCACCUAUUCUUUCACCAAAAGAUCGUAUACUCAAGAGGCUAGCUCUAAUAGAUGUGUCUGAAGAGAGUCUUGAGCAUAUGCAGCCCGGGAUAAUCGCAUAUGUUAAAAGAAACAGUUCCAGAUUACAAGAAAUUUUUAAUGCGAUUUUACCAUCUGAUUAUGAGAUUCAGACCGCCAUUGAAGCAGAGGCAGACCCUGGCAUUGAGGAUUUACUACAUGAAAGCAUGGUUUGGUUGCAGUGGUUGAUGUUUGAUGGUGAUCCUGUUGACAUGCUACAACGACUGGCGUUGUUGAAUGUUGGGCAACGUGGUGUUUGUGGAUCCGUGUGGGCCAGUGGUGAGAUGGCAUACCGUUGUAGAACAUGCGAAAUUGAUCCCACUUGUGCAAUUUGCGUCCCGUGUUUUGUAAACGGUGAUCAUAAAGAUCAUGAUUACUCAGUUAUAAAAACAGGCAGUGGAUGCUGUGAUUGUGGGGACGUGACAGGAUGGAAACGUAGCGGAUUUUGUUCUAAACAUAAAGGAGCAGAACAAAUACAACCACUUCAAGAAGAUAUUGCAAAGACUCUAGGUCCUGUUUUGGAUUGUCUUCUUCGUCACUGGAAAAACAGUUUAUUAUUCAUGGAUAAUGCUUCAGAACCAAAAGCGGUUGCAGAUGUGCUGACAUCAGCAGUGGUGGGGAUGCUUUUGGAAUUUUGUAAGUGCAGUGAAAGCUUGCUUGGUUUUGUUUCCGGAAGAUUAUGCUAUGAGGUUGAUUUGCUGGACGUUCUCGUAAGGGCAGAGCGGUUUUUGAGCUUGGAUGCUGUCUCAAAGCUUCACAAACUACUUUUAAAGUUGCUAAGUGAUCCUUUUUUCAAAUACGAGUUUGCAAAGGCUUUUAUAAAGUAUUAUCCCACAGUCGUAAAUGACGUUUUGCAAGAGAGUACAGAUGCUACUUUUCAGAACCUACCACUACUAUCAACAUUCGGGGUUCAGAUUUUCACUGUCCCUACCCUGACUCCACGUCUCGUUAAGGAAAUGGAUCUUUUAACCAUGCUUUUGGAGUGUUUGAGCAAGAUAUUCAGUUCUUGUUCUGGACAGGAUCAUCGACUAGAAGUUUCAGAGUGGGAAGAUAUGUACAAAACAACACAAUAUGUUGUUAAACAUAUUGAAUAUGUCAUGAGCCAUUCAACUAUACCAAAAUACAUGACAUGUGAGAGGCGUGGCAUUUCCAGAACGUGGAUGAAACUAUUAGGUUUUUUGCAGGGAAUGAACCCUGAAAAAAGAGAAAUACAUAUUCAUGUAGAAGAAGAAAAUGAAAAUAUCGAUUUACCUUUUCUUUUAGUCGGUUCCAUUGCAAAUAUUAAUGUUUUAUUAGUAGCUGGUGCGUUUUCCACCAAAGAGGAAUCAGUUUCCACUAUAAAUGUGAAGGUAGUUAAUGAACAGGACUCUUUUUCUAGUCUAACUUCGUUGGAUUAUGAAAUGAAGGCUGUUGAAGGAAAUGAUGCUCGUGUUUCAGUUUUGACUUCAGUUUCAUGGUUAAUCUUCGAGUGUUUACGGGCCAUUGAAUACUGGUUGAAAGCUAACAAUACAUCAGGUUUUGGAGGUCAUGGGGUGGAAGGGGAUUAUACAAAUGAAUUAGAGGUUUUAAGUUUGGCAGAUUGGCCAGAAAUUGAAUAUGAUGUUAGUUCACAAGAGAUAUCGGUGCAUAUCCCGUUGCAUCGUUUGCUCUCAUUGGCUUUACAAAGAGCAUUGAAGAGGUGUUAUGGUGAAUCUGAGUCAUCUGCUUAUGGUGAUUUUUUUGGCCACGUGUUAGGUGGCUGCCACCCGUACGGAUUCUCUGCUUUUGUGAUGGAACAUCCUCUGCGUAUUAGGGUUUUCUGUAGUCAAGUUCGUGCGGGGAUGUGGCGGAAGAAUGGUGAUGCAGCACUAGCAUCUUACGAGUGGUAUCGUUUUGUUAAAUGGUCAGAGCAGGGUUUGGAACUUGAUAUAUUUCUUCUACAGUGCUGUGCUGCAUUAGCUCCAGCAGACUUUUAUAUUGCUAGAAUCGUAGAACGUUUUGGUCUAUCAGAUUACCUUUCUUUGAAUAUGGAAAGAGCUAACGAGUAUGAACCGGCUUUGGUGCAGGAGAUGCUAAAUCUUAUCAUACAAAUAUUGAAAGAAAGACGAUUUUGUGGAUUGACUACAGCUCAAUGUCUGCAGCGUGAGUUAAUUUAUAAGUUAUCAUCCGGCAACGCUACUCACAGUGAACUGGCCAAUUCCCUUCCUCGUGACCUUUCUAAUGUUGACCAACUUCAACAAGUUCUGGAUACCGUAGCUGAGUACACGUAUCCAUCUGGAACCAAACAGGGUAUGUACCAAUUGCGUUUAGAGUACUGGAAAGAACUAGAUUUGUACCAUCCUCGUUGGAAUUUACAAGACUUACAAGCUGCAGAAGAAAGAUACUUGCGUUUUUGUAAUGCUUCGGCUAUGGCAAAUCAGCUUCCGAAGUGGUCAAAGAUUUAUCCUCCUCUUAACGGGUUAGCUAAAGUAGCUACAUGUAAAACGGUUCUACAAAUCAUUCGGGCUGUUCUCUUUUACGCACUUUUUACUGAUAAGUUGAUGGAAUCACGUGCUCCGGACGGUGUUCUUGUAACAUCUUUACACUUGCUAUCAUUAGCAUUGGACAUUUCUCAAGUGCAGAUCCAAGGUGGUGAUAUGGAUAAUUCUAUUCCUCUUUUAGGCUAUGCUGGUGAGGAAAUAUUUACGGGGUUCAAUGAUGGACAUGAUCAUCAAAGCUUAUUAUCACUUCUUGUGUCAUUAAUGAGAAAAAAUCAAAAAGAAAACACGUACGGUUUUGUGGAAUCUGGUGGGUUUGACCUCUCUUCUUUGAUCAAGGAUCUUCUUCAGAAAUUUGCUGAGCUGGAUUCUGGAUGCCUAAAAAAAUUGCAAAUAUUAGCACCUGAGGUUGUUAAUCUGCUAUCUCAUUCCAAGCCUAGUAGCGAUACAAGUAAUAGCGCUUCCAUGUCCGACAGUGAUAAACGAAAGGCCAAAGCUCGUGAGAGACAAGCUACAAUAAUGGAAAAAAUGAAGGCACAACAGUCAAAAUUCAUGGAGAACAUAAAUUCAACUGCAGAGAGUGGCUUAAAUGAUUCUAGUGAUGCUGAAGAAAGAAUUUCCGAUGUUGCAAACGGUUCAGAUGGACAUGAGCAAGUAAUCUGUUCUCUUUGUCAUGAUGCCAAUUCCAAGUCACCUGUGUCUUUUCUAAUUCUUCUCCAGAAAUCCAGUGUUGCGAGUUUACUUGAUAAAGGUUUCCCAUCAUGGGAAAAAGACGUUCAAAGGUCUGGGAAGGAGCAAGCUUUAAAUAAUGAUGAUACGUUUAAUAAUCAAUCUUCAAGUAGUGUAGAAACGCUAACGUCAUCCCAGUUGAUGGAUUCGGUUCAGAAUGCAAUUAAUGAAUUUGCUUCCACCAGUCUGCCACAUGAGGUUAAUGCUUUUCCUCGAUCAUCACAUGAUAAUAGCAGUCAAGCAGCCACGUCUUUGGGUGAUCUGUUUGAAGAAAGUAUGUAUACACAUAUUCUGAACAAUGAUUUGAUGAAGUCCGAGGAUCUGUCAGCUGCUAGUUGUAGUUCAAGUUCAUAUGGCAGUUCAAAUGAAUCACUUUUGCUUGGAAAAUACGUUGCUUCUUUGUAUGAUGAAAUAGCGAAUAAUCCGUCACCUUCAGAAACUAGAGGGUCCCAUAGUAACACAACACCGAGUUCAGUAACUUUAGGUAUGACAUAUGAUGGUUUUGGCCCGUCAGAUUGCAAUGGAAUUUAUGUUUCUUCCUGUGGGCAUGCUGUGCAUCAGGGUUGCCUUGAUCGUUAUCUACCGUCACUGAAAGAAAGAGAUUCUAGAAGAACUGAUCUUGAAGGAGGUCAUAUUGUGGAUCCACGUCAGGGGGAGUUUUUAUGUCCUGCUUGUCGUGGACUUGCAAAUUCUAUUUUACCUGAUUUACCUAGAGAAGAAACAAAGGACAUCUGGCAAUCAAAAAGUCAAAAUCUAUUCCCUUCAGAUGUUAAUAAUGUUUCUCUCCUUAGACGACCACUUUCUCUUUUGCAAGCUGCAGCUGAUGUUUCUAGAAGAAAUGAAAUUUUAAGGGCUAUUCCAGUGCAACAAAAAAGACAAAAAGACACAAAUCUAGAAUAUAUGGUUCCUUUGCUACGUGAAUUGUAUUUCCCGGGAAAUGACAAAGUUUCAGGAUCGAGUCGGGUAAGUGACUCGAUGAUCAUGUGGGACACCCUCAAAUAUUCCCUUGUAUCUACAGAAAUAGCUGCUAGAUCCGAAAAGACUUCUUCAGCUACCAUUCUUAGCACUGGUGCCUUGUAUGAAGAACUAAGAUCUUCGAAUGGGUUUAUUUUAUCAUUAUUACUGAAAAUUGCUCAAAAAAACCGAGUCCAAAGUUCUCUUGAUAUUCCCUUAAGAUUAUGGUGUACUCAGCAGUUCGCAAAGUCUAUUUGUUGUGUUGACACUCUCAAUGAACCACGCAAUGACGCCUAUAGAGUUGGGGAAUAUAUGACGAGCACGUUGGGAAGCACUGACAUGAGCAUACGAUUCCCUAAUCUUCAAGUUUGGGCGAUGGCAUCGUAUCCUGUACUUGCAUCUGAUGCGUUUUCAACUUUAAUGUGGAUCCUUUUUUGUCUUCCGGUCCCGUUUAUGUACUCUGAGAAAACAUUCUUUCCUCUUGUUCAUAUAUGCUAUGUUGUCUCCAUAACUCAGGCCGCAAUAACAUAUAUCGGAAGAAAUGAAUCUAUACAUGAUUUCCGUCACCAUGAUUCUCUUCUCAGUGACAUUUUCAAAUUCGUGGGUGAACAUGGAUUCUUAAAACAGUACUUUGUUUGCAACUAUAUCAACAACUCUUGUGAUAUCAACGAGUCUAUUCGUAGGCUAAGCUUUCCGUUUCUACGAAGGUGUGCCAUCCUGUGGAAAUUAAUGAACUCUUCAACUUCAUCACCAUUUAGUGGGGUCCUUAGAUCAUCAAAAACAUUUGAAGAUAGAAUGGAUCAUGCUUCUGGCACGCUUAACGAAACUAUUGAAAUCGAGGAGUUGGAGAAGGUGUUUAAGAUUCCACCACUGGACAACAUAGUUAAUGAUGAGCUGUCACGAUCUUUGGUUAAGAAAUGGUUGCAACACAUUGCAAAGGAUUUUAAAGUUAAUAAUCCUUCAGGGGUUUUGCACUUAACCCCUGUAGUCCCAGUUAAGUUAAUGGUCUUGCCUUAUCUCUACCAAGAUCUCUUGCAAAGAUACAUGAAAUGGAAGUGUGUUAACUGUGGAGCUGCUCAGGAUAAACCUGCAUUAUGCUUGUUGUGUGGUUUAUUGUGCUCACCAAGAUGGAAGACGUGCUGCAGGGAUGACACAUGCCAAACUCAUGCAAUGUCUUGUGGUGCUGGUACUGGUGUAUUUCUGUUGAUUAGGGAAACUAGAAUAUUACUUCAAAGAUCAGCUCAUCAAGCAUUUUGGCCGUCUCCUUACCUGGAUGCGUUUGGUGAAGAGGACAUUGGAAUGCGUAGGGGAAAGCCGUUAUAUUUAAAUGAAGAACGCUAUGCGGCCUUAAGUCACAUGGUGGCUUCUCAUGGUAUUGGUCGCAGUUCAAAAGUGUAGCAUCAAACAUCAACCAAUGCUUUCCUAACGCUUUAGAUUGGAUUCUUUGUAGAUGAGUUCUACCUAAGGUGACUAACAAACGAAUCAUAUCUUGCCACAUGGACUGUCAUGGAGUUAUCUUUUGUUCUGCAUGAGGAAAAAAACCCCCUACAUCCUUUUAUGAAACGUUUUCCCUAAUUUGAUUAAGCUGACUUCUAAAUCAGCUUAAUAUCCCGGUUUUCUUCAUGGGAAUUUGACUAAUAGUGUAGCAGAGUUACGGUGACGAGUCGGUGUGCGAAGGCAGAACGACGAGGUGGUGUCCCUAAGCAGUGGCGGAGUGGCGGAGCUAGCCGAAAAGUUCAGGGGUAUCCCAUUUAUUUUUAUUAGGGGUAUCAUUUAUAUAAAAAGAUAAAAAAAUUUACACUACGUAGACAGAGUUGAAGGGUAUUUUUACACUACGAAGACGGAGUUGAGGGGUAGCCCAGGUUACCCUUCGUUAUACAUUGCCUCCGCCACUGUCCCUAAGCACGACAACGAGAGACUUGAAGCUGUUGUGGAUGGUUUCGUCGGAGAAGGUGAGUUGUGGGGUAAAAAGGAGGUUGCCAAAGUGGUGGUUGUGGAUUGCCAGAAAAAUGUUUGCCGGAGAGGGUGGACCAAGUGGUGGCCUCGAUUUAGUGCCACCGUGUCUCCGCUGUAUGCCGCAGGAAAAAGCCACAAGAGCAAGAGCUGCCACCCAAUUUCUUAAUUAUGUGUGUUAGGUGAAAAGGUUAAUAAUUGAUGGUUUUUUUAAAUAUAUUAGGUGGUUGUAGUGGCGGUUUUACGGUGGUGACCGGUGGUGGUGAUGUUAUGGUGGUGGGUGUAGAGAAAAUAGAUAUUGAAAAGGGUUGCAAGUUUUGAAAGGUGAAAAGAGGGUUCUCAGUUUUCACAUAUU